RNAcentral lists this ribosomal RNA (301 nucleotides) under uncultured bacterium. RNAcentral describes it as "partial 16S ribosomal RNA". It matches the Rfam family "Bacterial small subunit ribosomal RNA", at positions 509 to 808 of the family's 1533-position model. The record is from RNAcentral.
CAGCAGCCCGGUAAAACGUAGGGUGCGAGCGUUAAUCGGAAUUACUGGGCGUAAAGCGUGCGCAGGCGGUUCGUUAAGACAGAUGUGAAAUCCCCGGGCUUAACCUGGGAACUGCAUUUGUGACUGGCGAGCUAGAGUAUGGCAGAGGGGGGUAGAAUUCCACGUGUAGCAGUGAAAUGCGUAGAGAUGUGGAGGAAUACCGAUGGCGAAGGCAGCCCCCUGGGCCAAUACUGACGCUCAUGCACGAAAGCGUGGGGAGCAAACAGGAUUAGAUACCCGAGUAGUCCCUGUCUCUUAUACA